This 251-nucleotide long non-coding RNA is filed under the name Panax ginseng (ginseng). RNAcentral's name for it is "long non-coding RNA (PGIN_LNC019183)". The record is from RNAcentral. Lineage: Eukaryota; Viridiplantae; Streptophyta; Magnoliopsida; Apiales; Araliaceae.
UGUCAACGACUUGAAUGUACGUUGUAAUCCCCUACCGGGGCUUCACGUUGUAACCCCCGUCGGGGACCUACUGGGGACUCAUGAGUACAUACGCAAAUAUCGAACAGUCCUCAAUGCUUCGAUGGGUUUACUUGCCAUCGGCUUGAAAUAACGUCAAGGCUGCUUGACCUUCGUUGAUAGAAAUGUCAACGGAUGAACGUGUUAUUGCCGGGUUGGUGCAGUGUAUCUGGUUGUGAGCGCUGAGAUUGAAG